RNAcentral lists this ribosomal RNA (431 nucleotides) under uncultured bacterium. RNAcentral's name for it is "partial 16S ribosomal RNA". It matches the Rfam family "Bacterial small subunit ribosomal RNA", at positions 29 to 507 of the family's 1533-position model. The record is from RNAcentral.
AACGAACGCUGGCGGCAGGCUUAACACAUGCGAGUCGAGCGCCCCGCAAGGGGAGCGGCAGCCGGGUGAGUAACGCGUGGGAACGUACCUUUUGGUUCGGAACAACUCCGGGAAACUGGAGCUAAUACCGGAUAAGCCCUAACGGGGAAAGAUUUAUCGCCGAAAGAUCGGCCCGCGUCUGAUUAGCUAGUUGGUGAGGUAACGGCUCACCAAGGCGACGAUCAGUAGCUGGUCUGAGAGGAUGAUCAGCCACACUGGGACUGAGACACGGCCCAGACUCCUACGGGAGGCAGCAGUGGGGAAUAUUGGACAAUGGGCGCAAGCCUGAUCCAGCCAUGCCGCGUGAGUGAUGAAGGCCUUAGGGUUGUAAAGCUCUUUUGUCCGGGAAGAUAAUGACUGUACCGGAAGAAUAAGCCCCGGCUAACUUCGUG